Molecule: ribosomal RNA, 429 nt
Filed under: Bacillota bacterium
Lineage: Bacteria; Bacillati; Bacillota
Description: Firmicutes bacterium partial 16S ribosomal RNA
Rfam family: Bacterial small subunit ribosomal RNA
Source: RNAcentral
UGGGGAAUCUUGCGCAAUGCGCGAAAGCGUGACGCAGCAACGCCGCGUGGGGGAAGAAGGCCUUCGGGUUGUAAACCCCUUUCAGUUGGGACGAAGCUUCGCCGGUGAACAGCCGGCUGGCGUGACGGUACCUUCCCAAGAAGCCCCGGCUAACUACGUGCCAGCAGCCGCGGUAAUACGUAGGGGGCUAGCGUUGUCCGGAAUCAUUGGGCGUAAAGCGCGUGUAGGCGGCCCGGUAAGUCCGCUGUGAAAGUCGGGGGCUCAACCCUCGGAUGGCGGUGGAUACUGUCGGGCUUGAGGACGGAAGAGGAGAGUGGAAUUCCUGGUGUAGCGGUGAAAUGCGCAGAUAUCAGGAGGAACACCGGUUGCGAAGGCAGCUCGCUGGGACGUUACUGACGCGGAGGCGCGAAAGCGAGGGGAGCAAACAGG